UACAGAACGUUGCUGAACGACGCCGUACGUGUUCAAUAUUUUGUUGCUCGCGAGUAUUUAUCAAUCUUUUAGUAGUUAAAUAAAGUUAAAGUGAAUAAUUGUAGAAGAAUUUCAUCUUAAACGAUUAAAAUCAUUAAAGUAGAGUCUCGAUUGGAAGAAUUUCGCUCGCAGGAAUGAAAUUGUACCCUGCAACAAUCGUGGCGACAGAAGACUAUCGUAUUCGACAUCCAUCGUAUUUUAUGAAUAAUUUGUCGAUUAAAUAAACGGGAAUUAUUGUCUUUGAGCUAAUUAUCGUUAGAAUAGGUGAGGUAAUAAAUUUGUGCGUGGAAGUGUAAUACCCAAAAACACAGAGAAAAAUUAUUAUGUGGAAAAUUAAAAUCAAACAUUUGAGAAUUGAAGUGCAGAAUAAUGGUAGGUGGACCCAGUUGAUGUAUUCCCAACGAUGGGAAUAGUGUGUUUAGUGCGUGAAUUGUGUGGAUUUUUCUCCAUAUGAAAUGGAACUUUCAAAAGUGACUGUGAAAUCAGUGAAAAAUUAAAUUCGAACUAUGCGGUAAAUUAGAACAAUGUUCAGAAAAUUCUGAACGUUUUAACAAUUUGUUUACUAUAUUUAAUAUGGUUUAUACAAGAAGGAUAACAUUAAAUGCAGUAGUAAAUUCUGUUUUAAAUUCAUUCAUGUAAAAAGAAUCAUUUAAACGUUCAGAAUUUAGAAUAAUUGUGGACCCAACGGUGGGAAUAGUGUACAGUGUUUUUCUACAAAAAUUGUACGAGCAGGAUAAUAAAAAGAAGGAAAACAUUUUGUGUGAGAAGAUAAAGAAGGAUCAUCAGAGUUGCUCCCUAGAGAUGCCAGAAGGAAGUGUGAUACAAAUGCGGAAGUAGCAGCUCCAGGAUGGAGGUCGUGCAUUAAAGAAAGCAGCCCAA
Molecule: long non-coding RNA, 918 nt
Organism: Leptopilina boulardi
Lineage: Eukaryota; Metazoa; Arthropoda; Insecta; Hymenoptera; Figitidae
Exons: 4
Source: RefSeq, a predicted model, not a curated record